UCCCUAGUAGCUGAGAUGUAAAGAAUCUGCCUGCAAUUCAGGAGACCUGGGUUCAAUCCCUGGUUGGGAAG
This 71-nucleotide transfer RNA is filed under the name Bos taurus (domestic cattle). It matches the Rfam family "tRNA". From Rfam's summary of the family: Transfer RNA (tRNA) molecules are approximately 80 nucleotides in length. Their secondary structure includes four short double-helical elements and three loops (D, anti-codon, and T loops). RNAcentral also lists the same sequence under 3 other names. The record is from Rfam by way of RNAcentral. Lineage: Eukaryota; Metazoa; Chordata; Mammalia; Artiodactyla; Bovidae.